Molecule: transfer RNA, 76 nt
Filed under: Pseudomonas viridiflava
Lineage: Bacteria; Pseudomonadati; Pseudomonadota; Gammaproteobacteria; Pseudomonadales; Pseudomonadaceae
Also listed under: 1 other name
Description: tRNA-Arg
Rfam family: tRNA
About the family: Transfer RNA (tRNA) molecules are approximately 80 nucleotides in length. Their secondary structure includes four short double-helical elements and three loops (D, anti-codon, and T loops).
Source: RNAcentral
GCGUCCGUGGCCAAGCGGAUAAGGCACUAUGCUUCGAACGUAGUGAUCGCAGGUUCGAUUCCUGCCGGGCGCACCA